This 529-nucleotide ribosomal RNA is filed under the name uncultured bacterium. RNAcentral's name for it is "partial 16S ribosomal RNA". It matches the Rfam family "Bacterial small subunit ribosomal RNA", at positions 356 to 900 of the family's 1533-position model. The record is from RNAcentral.
GGGGAAUAUUGCACAAUGGGCGAAAGCCUGAUGCAGCAACGCCGCGUGAGUGAUGAAGGUCUUCGGAUUGUAAAGCUCUGUCUUUUGGGACGAUAAUGACGGUACCAAAGGAGGAAGCCACGGCUAACUACGUGCCAGCAGCCGCGGUAAUACGUAGGUGGCGAGCGUUGUCCGGAUUUACUGGGCGUAAAGGGUGCGUAGGCGGAUGUUUAAGUGAGAUGUGAAAUACCCGGGCUUAACUUGGGUGUUGCAUUUCAAACUGGAUAUCUAGAGUGCAGGAGAGGAGAAUGGAAUUCCUAGUGUAGCGGUGAAAUGCGUAGAGAUUAGGAAGAACACCAGUGGCGAAGGCGAUUCUCUGGACUGUAACUGACGCUGAGGCACGAAAGCGUGGGUAGCAAACAGGAUUAGAUACCCUGGUAGUCCACGCCGUAAACGAUGAGUACUAGGUGUAGGAGGUAUCGACCCCUUCUGUGCCGCAGUAAAACACAUUAAGUACUCCGCCUGGGAAGUACGAUCGCAAGAUUAAAAC